Long non-coding RNA from Drosophila ficusphila, 740 nucleotides. RefSeq lists it as uncharacterized. NCBI's taxonomy places the organism in Eukaryota, Metazoa, Arthropoda, Insecta, Diptera, Drosophilidae. The transcript is spliced from 2 exons. The record is from RefSeq and is a predicted model, not a curated record.
UCUGUUGGCUGAUGUGCUUAUAGGCCACUUUGUUUCCUGCCGUUUGUUGUAUUGCCGGAGGCUCUCCGUCCGCCUGAGUUCCUCCCCCGAUUUUCCGCCCACUCAAAACUCCAACUACGUUUGCGUUCAGAUGGGAAGUUAAUAAAACAGCCUUUUAUGGGUGCUGCUGCUGCCUUUGUUGCUGCUGCUCAAUAUGUUUUCAUGGGCAUUUGAGCGUCUGAGCGUAUGCAGCAAUCAAAUUAAAUGUUAUUGUGCCACUAAUGGCUGCAACAAACAGGACAGAGAAUACAGAGGACAUGACACAAGCAACAACUGCAACAAUGUUGCACCUGCAACAAGCAGCAUCAGCAGGUGUUAAAGGCCACUUAAGUGCUGAAAAAUGUAAGAGUGGGUGUGGAAUGGUAGUGGGCGGUGCCUCCCGGCGUCCGUUUGCCGUAAUUACGUCGCCUCCUCUAUACAAACUCACACACACACAAAGGGGGAAAAAAGGUAGAAACUUCCAAGGUGUCCAAAGGAGUCUGCUAAGUCCAAGGGUUAAUGCACAAACAAGGACGAAAGUGGAAAGAUGAGAGAGAGUGGAGAAUGCCGAGCUUAAGUUUGAAGGAUAGUCUAGACUACCGCAUUAUUUAGCUGCAUUUAUCAUACUAAAAUGAUAAAGCAUUUAAAGACUGUUAUAUGCAGAAAAAAUGGAAAUUAAUCAAUUAUUGGAUUGUUAUUAAAUUAAAAGGACUCUGAUUUUA